Molecule: long non-coding RNA, 6149 nt
Organism: Columba livia (rock pigeon)
Lineage: Eukaryota; Metazoa; Chordata; Aves; Columbiformes; Columbidae
Exons: 3
Source: RefSeq, a predicted model, not a curated record
AGAGGCAGAGCUGAGGGAGCACGUUAGAGGGCAUAGGGCUGGUGCUCAGGAAAAAUUCUUUCCACCCCAACUAAUUUCCAUUCACACCAGAAGUCAGCCAGAGCUGCUGGUAACAUGCGCUGCACUUCCCGGGCUCCUGGGAAGUUGCCAGGAUUUGCUUUGAUGUCAAAAGCACAAUGCAGAAAACUUUAAGGAACAACCAAACUUUGCAUCAUCCCAAGACAUGGCUCCAGAUGAAAGAAAAGAUCUGUGCUAUAACAAAGGAUUUCUGGAAAGAUGUGGCCACUCGAGUGUGUUCCCUGCUAAUGGGAUCCCCUGGCAGAGAAGAAUGCAGCCUGCGUUCACCCCAUCAGGGUUUGCUCAGCUUUGGAGGGGUAGGGAGAAGCAGAAAAACAAUUAGGAUGGUCCUGAAGUUCUCUGAGCUUACAGCAGACCCUGAGCGAGUUUCUGCACAGCCCCAGAGCACAAUUCCUUCUGCUCCAGCAGGAAUCGCAUGGCUGAGAUUAAGAUCUUCUGUCUGCUCCAGCCUUUGCAAGGCUUCUGAACACUCACUUCUCGGAGGAGCCAUUGCAGACGUCCAGAGCGUGCCGUAACAACAGAAUUAAAACUGGAGAGUUAUGCAAAAUCCAUCUGUAGUUUAUGGGUGUGAUGCAACGGUCCAGCCUCAAGCAGCUCUUGCACAGGUUUUUGUAGUGGUUGCAAUACCAAGGAAACAACCUUAAGCAAUGUGAGGGGGCCUCAACAGCCCUGUCACCCCUCAGAAAUCAGAAAAGAGGCAUUAGAAAUGCUGUUUUCUUUUAGAAUGCCUUUGCUCUCCAGGUCCAUUUUUAAUGGUUUAAACUUAAAAGGCCAACUAAUUCUUUAGUUUAGAUUUCUUAUGUCCAGCUGAAGCCUGCGGCAGCUUCUCUGGCUGAUCGCACAGGCAGUUUUGCAAAAGAACAAAAUUUUGCUCAUGCUAAGCAAGACUUUGUCAACAGGAUGCCCACCUGUGGUCUUGUUUCAGUCCUUUACAGCUCCAAAUAACAAGCCAGUCUUUCUGAGUGAUCCCCAUUAACACGCUGUCAUUACCAGCGUACACUUUUCAUUUCCUCCUCAGUCAGCAUCCCAGCUUGGAAGAUUUUAUCAGACAAUAAUUUCACAUAUCAAAGCAAAACAAAGGAAUGAAGGCAAAGCCCGCUGGCUUCAGCAUAGGUAGCAAAGACAGGGGCAGCCUGAACGGGGAGAAAUCUGCUUCACAAUUUGGUGGUACGGUGCAGUAAACUGGUGUAAAAUAAACAGCGUCUAUUUAUAGCGGAGUGGAGCCUGCCUGCAGGCAUUGCAGCUGUUUUGUUGUUGUUGUGUUUUGUUUUUUUUUCUCUCUUUGCUCUGGAUGAAUGAGGGUUUUUCAAUGAGGAUCCAGGUUUCCCGAAGCAAAAUCCACCCCACCUCUUGGCACAAACCUCCAGACAGUCCAUAUGUCAUGAGCAAAAUAUGCAGCGCCCUAAAAACCGGAGCGGAGUCUCGCCCGAGUAGGAUCAGUUCUUGAAGGGAGACCCAUGGGUGCUGGGCACCAAGGGCAGCCCUAGUGCAAGGAUUUGGGGAAAACACCCAGGUGGUUCCCACCAGUGAGCCCCUGUCCCCCCAUGGGAGCUGGGGAGCAAGCAGGGACCUCUCGGCAUCCCCCAAGACAUCCCAAGCAGCCAUGGGGUGAGCGGCUUGGCCUGAGCUUUUAGUGCCCCAAAACUGAGCCCAGCUCUCAUAGCUCUGAGUUUACAUGCUCAGACGCACACACACUCAAGCAAGAUGUUUUCCAUGCCUCCACGGCUCCCAUCGGAUGUGGGUGGUCCCGGCGAGAGGAAUGCGAGCGAUCGGAUUCACGUAUCAUCUCGCUGCCGCUCAGCGCCGGAGACCUCCGGGGAUUUGUUCUGUAGGCGAUUGACCCGGCGAGCAUCCGAGCUCCGGCGCGUUUUCCAGACACCUCUGAUCACAACCACAAAGAAGAAAUUGAUUUAUCCCAAAGUAAACAUCCCUAAAAUGACAGAAGGGUGUGGAGUUUUUUUUUGCCACCCCCACAAUAGCAAAAAAGGCGGAAAGAAUAAAGUGUCUGUAAACCCCCCGGUGCCUCACCACGACACAGAUUUACAUCUCUGAGUCAGAUCUUUGCAGCUCCCUGCAUAUGGUCUGCAUGAUAUGCAGUUCCUGGCUAGUGACUCACCCAACACCAAUAUAAAGAAAUUGUUUCAGACCGAGCAAGCAAACAACCCGAAUUUUGCCGUCUCAAGCUCCACGGCCGCAGGGACGCAGCCCGACCUGGCCCAGCCCGACUCGGCUCUCGUUUGCGUGAUUCGGGAGCAACUCCACCAGAGUCCUGUCACAUUUUUAAAAGCUUCUUAAAAUUGCCUUUCUGUCUGAUUUUUGCUGUGGUCAAAAAUAACGUCUCAGAUUACCAAAAUGGAAAGGGAUAAGAAGAACGGUUUUAUCUCUUUCUUUCCAGUUUGUUUACUCGGUUCAUUCGAUAUCACUUUGCGACCAGGGUAUUUGGUUUCAGUGUUUCCACUGUGCGGUCAUUUAGGUAGUUUCCUUUUGUUCUUCAUGUGGGUCUUUUCUUUCAUAAUGAUGUAAAGAGAAUGAGAGGAAAAAACCUUUUGAAAUAUGAUGGUUAAAGGCACAAAAACUGGCAGGUGGACUCACACGUGUCAACUCAUAGAAACCAAAUCCAAUCAGCUACUCAUUGAUAAAAGAAGAAUUUACUGUGGAAUUGAUUAAAUUUCCAAUGGACCUUAUGUCAGAUGAGCUCACACUGAGAUCCAUGGUGUCAAGUUUGUGUGACAUUUAGUUUGCUUUUUUAUUUUUUUGGUAGUUUUUAAUUUUUUAAAUUGCUUUAAAUACAUGCAGCAACAAUUCAGCUGCCAUUAUAGAUGAAAAAAAAAACAUAGUAGGAAAAGCUGCUGAAAUUACAUCAACUAGAAUUUUUCACAAAGAUGAUUAUUAGCAGCUGUGGUUCUCUGGGCUGAGUUGGGUUCCCAGAACUUUUCCCUCUGUACAUUCAGAAUUCAGAAACUGGAAAUAAUUCUCCUCUGGAACCAAGCAAACAGACUUAAAACAUCUCAAGAAUCCCAGAAUUUAGUCAAAGGGCUAUCUAUCUUUAACCACCCUUCAUUUUGUUAAAAAUAGUAAUAUGAAAUCUAAAGCCAUUUAAUUAAUUGGAAAUCAUUACGCUUAAGCAUGUACAAAAGAAUAAUCAAAAGGGAUACUAGAGCCAUUAAAUAAUCAAAUUGCAAUACUAUUAACUAAGCAAUUAGUAUGUGCAAUAAAUGGCUAGACUGUGUUAAUGAGAGGAUAAGAACACUUCUAUUCCCUUCCCAGGAUAUCUCCUACACGUACAACAUCUUCUAUCCAGCCCCAAGUACCAACAUUUCUGUUCUCAGCAGUCCUUCACCUAGUAAAGGCUUCCAGAAAGUUCCCCAGAAUUUUGACUGAGGAGGAAAUCAGGAUCCUUUUUUCCUUAGAAUAUUCAGAGAUGAAGCACUGCCAUGUUCCCUGGAGGUAUAGCUGAUGAUUUCUGCAUUCAAGUCCCAAGCCAUUGACUAGUACUGAAGAAUGAAGCAGCUCAGAACAUACUCACCUGAUGGCUCUUCCAUAGCCACGUGUAGGAAAAUACGGAGUGACAACAGGCACUGACAUAAGCAAGUGUGGUAGAUCAGGUGAAUAAAAGAACAGGGAAAAAAAAAAAAAAAGAAGAAAACAAAAAAACCACAAGGUUAUUUUGACCAUAAAUAAGGUCUGCAGAACAAUUUAUGGCUGUGUUGAGAAAAGGAUGCUACAAAUGGUACCCAGGCGAUACAGUCCUGAAAUCUCCUGCGAUGUGUUACCACUGUAUCACCUGGAGCUGCAGCAGGGCCUCACCUGUACAGACAGGUAACCUGCAGAGCCCCAGGACCAGGAAAAUAAAAUUUAGAGAGUAUGAACAAGGGCAGAAAAAGUGUCUUGGCCAAGCUUGCCCAACUUGUCAAAAGCAAGCUCAGAAGUAAAGCCUAGGACUUUGAAAUCCUUCUCUGGAGAUGGUUCCUUGGACACACUGAUUCCAUGUAAGCAACCCCACAGACAGAGGAUAAACAACAAUUUUUCUUAUUAAAGAACCCAGACCCCUCAAUUAUGAGGGCACAGCUGCCACUGUAUCAGGCUAAACAAACAAAAAAGCCCCCAGAAAAAGAGGAAAACAUCCCAACUCCUUUUACAAGUUAUUUCCCAAUCAUGCCUGCUUGCAGUCUACCACCCCGGCUCUGGAAAAGCUAACCCAGGCUAUGCACAUUCCUGGGAGCGGAUCCCACCAGACAAGGUAACACUUUAAUUAGACAGUACCAAGGCAACUGUUUACAAGUCUCUUCCAAAUGCCUCCCUUGUGUUUGCACCCUCCUACUACAAUGGCAAUAUUUAGUAGAAAUGUCCUAGGUAUGAUUCUCCUGGGGCUUAUUCAAAUGUCAGUCAGCUCAACAUAAGUACACUGUGAAAAUGGAUGAAAACAAAAGAGGAUGAGUUUCUGUCUUUCUUGGGAAGCAGCGUGUUUGUCAGGAGAAGGUUUUGGAUGCAUCAGUGACUGUUGGGCAGUCAGGGUUGCCAGAAAUAAAACAUGAGCCCACUGUGCAAAAGGCUGCCCUGGAGCCUGUAGGUCAUUGCCCAGGUCAUAUUCACAGCAAAAGUUCAUCUGAUGGUAGAGCCUGUGGCUCUGGUGGGACAGAAACCCCCACAUCCAUGUGCCACUAGUGCCUUCCGAAAUGAACAGCAGCUCCCCAUGGGGUACCUUGCCUGCUCAGCUGUAACACAACAUACGGAGAGGAUGGGAAAACACAACCAUCCUCAUUGAUAUUUCCCCUGCAGCCAUAAUGUUGUGGUGUUUCCUGCUCUUGGAGGAGAAAUGGGUUCUGCUGAGCUGGGGUUGAAAUGAAUCACAGAAUCACAGAAUGGUUUGGGUUGGAAGGGACCUCUGGAGAUCAUCUUGUCCAACCCACCUGCUAAAGCAGGUUCACCAGAGCAGAUCGCACAGGAGUGUGUGCAGGAGGGUUUUGAACAUCUCCAGAGGAGACUCCACACCCACUCUGGGCAGCCUCUUCCAGGGCUCUGGCACCUCCAAGUAAAGAAGUUUCUCAUGUUCAGAUGGAACUUCCUGUGUUUCAGUCUGCGCCUGUUGCCCCUCAUCCUGUCAUUGGGCAUCACUGAAAGGAGUCUGGUCCAUCCUCUGACACCCAUCCUUCAGAUAUUUAUAAACAUCUAUGAGAUCCCUCUCAGCUUCUCUCUCCAGGCUGAAAGACCCAGCUCUCUCAGUCUCUCCUCUUAAGAAAGAUGCUCCAGACCGCUCAGCAUCCUCAUGAAGCAGCAGAUCUGAUGGCUGAGCUGCUGGGGGACACCGCGAGUACUCCUGUCACUGCACAUCCUGGCAAGGAGGAGUCGGCCAGGGAUGGAGAGACAUAAACAUUGUGCUGCAGGAGGUUCAGAGUUAUGAUAGAUGAGGUUCUGCUGUGGCCAUCUGCAAUAUUGUCCUUUUUAUCCACCUCACACCAUACGCUCUUGGCAAAAUAGCUACAACAUAAAGGAAUCACUUCACUUGCAUUGAAAUGCAGCUGCGUUAGACUACUCAGCUGUAAUCAAUGAAAGAAAAAUACUUGGUGCUUUUUGAGCUGUGAGGGGAAUUUACAGAGGCAUAAUGAAAUUAUUCAGUGCAAAUUCAGCUGGGCUGCAAGAAUGUGUAAAACCUUCCCCUUCAUAAUAGUGAAGAAGAACUUUACCCAGAAGUUACUUUGGUUUUCUGCAAUCACCAGAUGAAAAAUGACACAAAAAGGUCACAGAUAUUUCUCAGCUGAUAUGAUUGGGUCUGACUCAGAGCAGUGGAAAUUACAGGAUAUUGUCUUGGAGGGCUCUUGUGAGUUAAUAAAAAGUUUCCUGGAAUGAUUUACAAAUCUGGAUUGCACAAAGGAAUACAAUGAAGGGAAACGGGGAAACUCAGGUUACACAAAGCGCUGCAGAGCAUUUGCGAAAGUCAUUUUCUAACAGUUAUGAGUAAAGAGUCAAGCUCUAUGAGUUUCUGGGAUUUCAUACACUGCUAAGUACUUAUUUGCCUUAGUAUUCAACAUCUCAGUUACUAACAUAAGUAGUUUCACUUUUUUUUUUUUUUU